This 441-nucleotide long non-coding RNA is filed under the name Homo sapiens (human). RNAcentral's name for it is "non-protein coding lnc-MYLPF-1:10". The record is from RNAcentral. Lineage: Eukaryota; Metazoa; Chordata; Mammalia; Primates; Hominidae.
GAGGUGGGAGAGCCAUCACUGGAGAGGUGGCAUUGGCGCCAGUACUCAGGCCAGAAGCCCCUUGUGCCCUGCUCUCAGGGGUUUCCUCCCAUAUUGGAUCACGAUGAAAACUGCACAGAAAGUCCGUGCUCAGUUUCUUCCAUGGUUACAGAACACAGGCCCCAGACCAGGAAGGCAUUCUGCUAAAGAAGGGGACCCGAAACCUCAGCUACCAGCGCCGAUGGUUCAUCCUCCGAGGAAACCUCCUCUUCUACCUAGAACACUAGACCGACCAUGCACCCCUGAGCCUCAUCCUGUUAGAGAACUGCCAGGUGGAACCACACCUUAAGGCUGCAGAACCCUAUGCCUUUACCAUCCUGACCCCUGGGGUGGAGGGCACAGGUGGGCGGGCCUACAAGCUGGCUGCAGAAACCCAGGAAGAGCUGGAGACUUGGCUGUGGG